Molecule: ribosomal RNA, 254 nt
Filed under: uncultured bacterium
Lineage: Bacteria
Description: partial 16S ribosomal RNA
Rfam family: Bacterial small subunit ribosomal RNA
Source: RNAcentral
UACGUAGGGGGCGAGCGUUGUCCGGAUUCAUUGGGCGUAAAGAGCUCGUAGGCGGUUCGAUAAGUCAGGUGUAAAAACUCCAGGCUCAACUUGGAGAGGCCACCUGAUACUGUCGUGACUAGAGUCCGGUAGAGGAGCACGGAAUUCCUGGUGUAGCGGUGAAAUGCGCAGAUAUCAGGAGGAACACCAGCGGCGAAGGCGGUGCUCUGGGCCGGAACUGACGCUGAGGAGCGAAAGCGUGGGGAGCGAACAGG